Molecule: ribosomal RNA, 253 nt
Filed under: uncultured bacterium
Lineage: Bacteria
Description: partial 16S ribosomal RNA
Rfam family: Bacterial small subunit ribosomal RNA
Source: RNAcentral
UACGUAGGGUGCAAGCGUUGUCCGGAAUUAUUGGGCGUAAAGAGCUCGUAGGCGGUUUGUCGCGUCUGCUGUGAAAUCCCGAGGCUCAACCUCGGGCCUGCAGUGGGUACGGGCAGACUAGAGUGCGGUAGGGGAGAUUGGAAUUCCUGGUGUAGCGGUGGAAUGCGCAGAUAUCAGGAGGAACACCGAUGGCGAAGGCGCAUCCUGGACCGGCAUUGACGCUGAGUGAGCGAAAGCCAGGGGAGCAAACGGG